UACUUAUAAUAAAAAGAUUUUGGAAUAGUAUUAUUAAUGAAAUUUAACGGAUUUGGCGGCAAGAUAGCCACUUAGAGGAACCUGCCCUAUAAACGAUGAACCACGAAUAGUCCUACUUUUUCUAGUAUUCAGUUUGUAUACCGCUGUUGUCAGUUAGUUUCCUUAGAAAACUUUCAUGCAUGAAAAAUUCAACGACUUCAAGUAAAGGUGCAGCUUAUGAAAAAGAUAGAGGUGGGUUACAUUUAAUUGAAUAAAACGAAUAAAGUAACUUAAAAAACUUUUGAAGGUGGAUUUAAUAGUAAAGUCAAAUAAGACUUGAUGAGAGCUCUAUCUUGUGUACACACCGCCCGUCGCUCGCGNAAAAAA
Molecule: ribosomal RNA, 366 nt
Rfam family: Microsporidia small subunit ribosomal RNA